RNAcentral lists this ribosomal RNA (422 nucleotides) under uncultured bacterium. RNAcentral's name for it is "bacterial SSU rRNA". It matches the Rfam family "Bacterial small subunit ribosomal RNA", at positions 355 to 774 of the family's 1533-position model. The record is from RNAcentral.
UAAGGAACAUUGGACAAUGGAGGCAACUCUGAUCCAGCCAUGCCGCGUGAAGGAAUAAGGCCCUAUGGGUUGUAAACUUCUUUUAGACGGGACAAAACCCCUUUACGUGUAAAGGGUUGAUGGUACUGUCAGAAUAAGCAUCGGCUAACUUCGUGCCAGCAGCCGCGGUAAUACGAAGGAUGCAAGCGUUAUCCGGAAUUAUUGGGUUUAAAGGGUGCGUAGGCGGACUAAUAAGUCAGUGGUGAAAGCCUGCAGCUUAACUGCAGAAUUGCCAUUGAUACUGUUAGUCUUGAGUACAGUUGAGGUAGGCGGAAUGUGUCAUGUAGCGGUGAAAUGCUUAGAUAUGACACAGAACACCGAUUGCGAAGGCAGCUUGCUAAGCUGUAACUGACGCUGAGGCACGAAAGCGUGGGGAGCAAACA